GUAUCAUGGCUCAGGAUGAACGCUAGCUACAGGCUUAACACAUGCAAGUCGAGGGGCAGCAUGGUCUUAGCUUGCUAAGGCCGAUGGCGACCGGCGCACGGGUGNGUAACGCGUAUCCAACCUGCCUUACACUCUUGGACAGCCUUCUGAAAGGGAGAUUAAUACAAGAUGUUAUCAUGAGUAAGCAUUUUCGCAUGAUUAAAGGUUUACCGGUGUAAGAUGGGGAUGCGUU
This 232-nucleotide ribosomal RNA is filed under the name uncultured bacterium. RNAcentral describes it as "partial 16S ribosomal RNA". It matches the Rfam family "Bacterial small subunit ribosomal RNA", at positions 14 to 237 of the family's 1533-position model. The record is from RNAcentral.